AUUGAACGCUGGCGGCAGGCUUAACACAUGCAAGUCGAGCGGGGGAAGGUAGCUUGCUACCGGACCUAGCGGCGGACGGGUGAGUAAUGCUUAGGAAUCUGCCUAUUAGUGGGGGACAACAUCUCGAAAGGGAUGCUAAUACCGCAUACGUCCUACGGGAGAAAGCAGGGGAUCUUCGGACCUUGCGCUAAUAGAUGAGCCUAUGUCGGAUUAGCUAGUUGGUGGGGUAAAGGCCUACCAAGGCGACGAUCUGUAGCGGGUCUGAGAGGAUGAUCCGCGACACUGGGACUGAGACACGGCCCAGACUCCUACGGGAGGCAGCAGUGGGGAAUAUUGGACAAUGGGGGGAACCCUGAUCCAGCCAUGCCGCGUGUGUGAAGAAGGCCUUAUGGUUGUAAAGCACUUUAAGCGAGGAGGAGGCUACUUUAGUUAAUACCUAGAGAUAGUGGACGUUACUCGCAGAAUAAGCACCGGCUAACUCUGUGCCAGCCGCCGCAGUAA
Molecule: ribosomal RNA, 501 nt
Filed under: uncultured bacterium
Lineage: Bacteria
Description: partial 16S ribosomal RNA
Rfam family: Bacterial small subunit ribosomal RNA
Source: RNAcentral